Molecule: long non-coding RNA, 347 nt
Filed under: Mytilus galloprovincialis (Mediterranean mussel)
Lineage: Eukaryota; Metazoa; Mollusca; Bivalvia; Mytilida; Mytilidae
Source: RNAcentral
AGGUGAGGUUGGAGACUGGAAAAACGUUUUCACCGUUGCUGUCGAUGAGAAAUUUGAUGCUUUGUUCGCCAAGAAGACGAAAGGAAUUGACUUUCAAUAUCGCUAUUCUUUAUAACUUGCAAGUUAUGAAUGCAAUGAUUAUACCAGACAUAUAUUCGUAUGGUUUUACACUAGUCUUCUAUGGGGCCUUUAUAGCUUGCUGUUCGAUGUGGGCCAAAGCGCUGUGUUAAAGACCGUACUAUGACCUAAAAUGAUUUAUUUUUAUAAAAUGUGACUUGAGAGGAAAGUUGGUUCAUUGGCACUCAUACAACAUAUUCUUAUAUCUAUAUAAUCAAAACAUAAUAAAU